AUACUUACCUGGCAGGGGAGAUACCAUGAUACCAUGAUCACGAAGGUGGUUUUCCCAGGGCGAGGCUCAUCCAUUGCACUCCAGGUGUGCUGACCCCUGCGAUUUCCUCAAAUGUGGGAAACUCGACCGCAUAACUUUUGGUAGUGGGGGACUGCGUUCAUGCUAUCCCCUA
This is a small nuclear RNA of Echinops telfairi (small Madagascar hedgehog), 172 nucleotides long. RefSeq annotates it as U1 spliceosomal RNA. The record is from RefSeq and is a predicted model, not a curated record. The transcript has a single exon. NCBI's taxonomy places the organism in Eukaryota, Metazoa, Chordata, Mammalia, Afrosoricida, Tenrecidae.